This 935-nucleotide ribosomal RNA is filed under the name Bacillus sp. SK-36. RNAcentral's name for it is "bacterial SSU rRNA". It matches the Rfam family "Bacterial small subunit ribosomal RNA", at positions 12 to 929 of the family's 1533-position model. The record is from RNAcentral. Lineage: Bacteria; Bacillati; Bacillota; Bacilli; Caryophanales; Bacillaceae.
SKUGAUCCUGGCUCAGGACGAACGCUGGCGGCGUGCCUAAUACAUGCAAGUCGAGCGGAUCUUCAUUAGCUUGCUUUUGAAGAUCAGCGGCGGACGGGUGAGUAACACGUGGGCAACCUGCCUGUAAGACUGGGAUAACUUCGGGAAACCGGAGCUAAUACCGGAUAAUCCUUUCCCUCACAUGAGGGAAAGCUGAAAGACGGUUUCGGCUGUCACUUACAGAUGGGCCCGCGGCGCAUUAGCUAGUUGGUGAGGUAACGGCUCACCAAGGCAACGAUGCGUAGCCGACCUGAGAGGGUGAUCGGCCACACUGGGACUGAGACACGGCCCAGACUCCUACGGGAGGCAGCAGUAGGGAAUCUUCCGCAAUGGACGAAAGUCUGACGGAGCAACGCCGCGUGAACGAUGAAGGCUUUCGGGUCGUAAAGUUCUGUUGUCAGGGAAGAACAAGUACCGGAGUAACUGCCGGUACCUUGACGGUACCUGACCAGAAAGCCACGGCUAACUACGUGCCAGCAGCCGCGGUAAUACGUAGGUGGCAAGCGUUGUCCGGAAUUAUUGGGCGUAAAGCGCGCGCAGGCGGUUCCUUAAGUCUGAUGUGAAAGCCCCCGGCUCAACCGGGGAGGGUCAUUGGAAACUGGGGAACUUGAGUGCAGAAGAGGAGAGCGGAAUUCCACGUGUAGCGGUGAAAUGCGUAGAGAUGUGGAGGAACACCAGUGGCGAAGGCGGCUCUCUGGUCUGUAACUGACGCUGAGGCGCGAAAGCGUGGGGAGCGAACAGGAUUAGAUACCCUGGUAGUCCACGCCGUAAACGAUGAGUGCUAAGUGUUAGAGGGUUUCCGCCCUUUAGUGCUGCAGCAAACGCAUUAAGCACUCCGCCUGGGGAGUACGGCCGCAAGGCUGAAACUCAAAGGAAUUGACGGGGGCCCGCUCAAU